AAAAAAAUAGUUCUUUAAGAUGUCUUGCAACUUAUUGAUUAAUAGAGAUAUAUUCAUUUAUAAUAUCUAUGGUCUAUCAAAUAAGGGAUAUGUAUAUUCUUCCAAAAUGGCUCAAAUUCAGGCACCAAUUUGCAAUUUUGCUCAUAUUUACACACAUUUAUUUUUAUUUGGGAAAAGAGUCCCAAUGGCCCUUCAACUCUUACCCAGGUAAAGUUUUGGCCCUCCAACAAUUAAAGAUACGUUUUUGGCCCUCGAUAUAACAAAAUAGCAUAUUAGUGGCCCUUCUGUCAAAUCCACCAGUUAACUAUGACGGGAAGCUUCAUCUCGUGAGACGCGACACCAAAUAUGAAGGGUAUUAUAGUCUCUACAUGAUGGUUGACCAAGCAAAGAGAGAGUAAAAAGGUUGCAUCUUAUCUUACCUCAAGUUAGAGCAACAAAAUCUCCAUCUAGUCAAAGUUGGAGCUGAAAAUGCGAAGAAUGAACAGUUCCCUCUACCGAUGUGCAAAUGUGAGAAAGAGACUAGGGUGAUUAUUUCGUGGACUUCAAAAAAUCCUGGGCGAAUGUUUGCUGUGUGGGCAGAAGGUUGCUGCAGAUAUUGGGCAUGGAUCGAUGAGGAGAUGUGCCGACGGGCUACAGAAAUUAUACCUGGCCUUCUUCGAAAGAUUAAUGCAACUGAAAAGGACAGAGAUGAAUACGAAGAAUUAGCAAGAAGAAAUGAAAGAAAGGUAACAAAAUUGAAGGAAAAAGUUCCUUCACAGUGGAAUUUGAUAAUGUAUCCACUAUCCAGCCGACUCGUGCUCCCGUGUCCUUAUCAUCCUUCUUCUUUCUUAUUAUUAAAAAAAAACAGAGAAAAGGAGAAUACGGCGAUGCGGAUUUUCCUCAAAUGAAACAUUUUUAAAAUUUUGAAAAAAAAAAUGUUUUUGUAAAGUUGUGUGCUUACCCCGGAAAAAGUUGGAACUGAAGAAGGGAAGUCGGUCGGAUUUUUAAAACUGCUCCUGGUGUUGU
RNAcentral lists this long non-coding RNA (1005 nucleotides) under Coffea arabica (coffee). Its description in RNAcentral is "long non-coding RNA (CARA_LNC003304)". Lineage: Eukaryota; Viridiplantae; Streptophyta; Magnoliopsida; Gentianales; Rubiaceae. The record is from RNAcentral.